RNAcentral lists this ribosomal RNA (253 nucleotides) under uncultured bacterium. RNAcentral describes it as "partial 16S ribosomal RNA". It matches the Rfam family "Bacterial small subunit ribosomal RNA", at positions 524 to 776 of the family's 1533-position model. The record is from RNAcentral.
UACGUAGGGUGCAAGCGUUGUCCGGAAUUAUUGGGCGUAAAGAGCUCGUAGGCGGUCUGUCGCGUCGGCUGUGAAAUCCCGAGGCUCAACCUCGGGUCUGCAGUCGAUACGGGCAAACUAGAGUAUUGCAGGGGAGACUGGAAUUCCUGGUGUAGCGGUGAAAUGCGCAGAUAUCAGGAGGAACACCGGUGGCGAAGGCGGGACUCUGGGCCGAUACUGACGCUGAGGAGCGAAAGCGUGGGGAGCGAACAGG